This 405-nucleotide ribosomal RNA is filed under the name uncultured bacterium. RNAcentral's name for it is "partial 16S ribosomal RNA". It matches the Rfam family "Bacterial small subunit ribosomal RNA", at positions 28 to 526 of the family's 1533-position model. The record is from RNAcentral.
GAUGAACGCUGGCGGCGUGCUUAAUACAUGCAAGUCGAGCGAAGCGGGGACGGGUGAGUAACACGUGGAUAACCUCCUAUAAGACUGGGAUAACUUCCGGAAACCGGAGCUAACCCGGAUUCGUAUAGAUGGAUCCGCGCUGCAUUAGCUAGUUGGUAAGGUAACGGCUUACCAAGGCAACGAUGCGUAGACGACCUGAGAGGGGGAGCAGCCACACAGGAACUGAGACACGGUCCAGGCUCCUACGGGAGGAAGCAGUAGGGAAUCUGCCGCAAUGGGCGAAAGCCUGACGGUGCAACGCCACGUGGGUGAUGAAGGUCUUCGGUAAGUAAAAUUCUGUUGUUAGGGCAACGGUACCUAAUCAGAAAGCCACGGCUAACUACGUGCCAGCAGCCGCGGUAAUAC